AUUGAACGCUGGCGGCAUGCUUUACACAUGCCAGUCGAACGGCAGCGCGGGCUUCGGCCUGGCGGCGAGUGGCGAACGGGUGAGUAAUGCAUCGGAACGUGCCCAGUAGUGGGGGAUAGCCCGGCGAAAGCCGGAUUAAUACCGCAUACGACCUGAGGGUGAAAGCGGGGGACCGAAAGGCCUCGCGCUAUUGGAGCGGCCGAUGUCGGGUUAGCUAGUUGGUGGGGUAAAGGCUUACCAAGGCGACGAUCCGUAGCUGGUCUGAGAGGACGACCAGCCACACUGGGACUGAGACACGGCCCAGACUCCUACGGGAGGCAGCAGUGGGGAAUUUUGGACAAUGGGGGCAACCCUGAUCCAGCCAUGCCGCGUGCGGGAAGAAGGCCUUCGGGUUGUAAACCGCUUUUGUUCGGGAAGAAAUCCUCUGGGCUAAUACCCCGGGGGGAUGACGGUACCGGAAGAAUAAGCACCGGCUAACUACGUG
RNAcentral lists this ribosomal RNA (484 nucleotides) under uncultured bacterium. RNAcentral's name for it is "partial 16S ribosomal RNA". It matches the Rfam family "Bacterial small subunit ribosomal RNA", at positions 28 to 507 of the family's 1533-position model. The record is from RNAcentral.